RNAcentral lists this ribosomal RNA (460 nucleotides) under uncultured Bacteroidales bacterium. RNAcentral describes it as "bacterial SSU rRNA". It matches the Rfam family "Bacterial small subunit ribosomal RNA", at positions 338 to 795 of the family's 1533-position model. Lineage: Bacteria; Pseudomonadati; Bacteroidota; Bacteroidia; Bacteroidales. The record is from RNAcentral.
CCUACGGGUGGCUGCAGUAGGGAAUAUUGGGCAAUGGGGGCAACUCUGACCCAGCCAUGCCGCGUGAAGGAAUACAGCCCUACGGGUUUUAAACUUCUUUUAUUAUAGAGUAACCGGAGGUACGUGUACCUCCCUGCAAGUAUAUAAUGAAUAAGGAUCGGCUAACUCCGUGCCAGCAGCCGCGGUAAUACGGAGGAUCCGAGCGUUAUCCGGAUUUAUUGGGUUUAAAGGGUGCGCAGGCUGAUCGAUAAGUCAGGGGUGAAAAAUUUCAGCUUAACUGGAAUCGUGCCUUUGAUACUGUCGGACUAGAGUGUAACUGACGUGACUGGAAUGUGCCGUGUAGCGGUGAAAUGCUUAGAUAUGUCACAGAACGCCAAUCGUGAAGACAGGUCACGAAGUUACUACUGACGCUCAUGCACGAAAGCGUGGGGAUCAAACAGGAUUAGAUACCCUUGUAGUC